This 863-nucleotide long non-coding RNA is filed under the name Heterocephalus glaber (naked mole-rat). RNAcentral describes it as "lncRNA (ENSHGLG00100037888.1)". Lineage: Eukaryota; Metazoa; Chordata; Mammalia; Rodentia; Bathyergidae. The record is from RNAcentral.
CAUCAGGAUGACAUAAGAGGGUCCCAGAGAACAGACACUUCCUUCCAUGCUUAGCAAGUGAACAAGAGAUGACAUGAAAGUUGUUCAGGGAAAAAAGCCAAACAAACAAGCAAAAACAAAAUGACAGAAAAAGAAAUAAAUUAGUGAAAAUCACACAGAAACAAUGGGAGUUUGCAGAAAAAAAUAUCUAUGAAUACAAAGAAUAAGCUAAAGGCAUAGAGGCUGGAAAUGCAGAAAUGGGCUAUACCAAGGAAAGGAACAGAAAACCUAAAUUCCUUCAAACAUAAAAGGAGAAAAGCAGAGUAUAACAGAAUUGGAAUGACAAAAAUGCUGAAAAAUAUUCUGAAAGACACAAGAAAAACAUAGACAUAAAAGAACACUGCCCUAAGAUAAAGAGAGAAACAAGAGCCCAGUUUCAGGAUCCACUGUAGCCCUCUGCAGCAGCUGCACGUAGGUGAGGUUCUCGUGUGUGUUGGGGUCGAAGAAGCCCUUGGUGUCGUCGCCCGGGUCCGCCAGGACGCGGCUCAUCUCGUGGUCGAAGUAGCCGCGCUGGUAGGCCACGUCCACGGGCACUCGGUGAGGUUCUCGUGUGUGUUGGGGUCGAAGAAGCCCUUGGUGUCGUCGCCCGGGUCCGCCAGGACGCGGCUCAUCUCGUGGUCGAAGUAGCCGCGCUGGUAGGCCACGUCCACGGGCACUCGGUGGCUGUGCACGGGGUCGAUGACGCCGCCCGUGGCGAUCUGGGCCUCCAGCAGCCGGAUGCCGUGGUCGCGCACGAUGAGGUCCCUCUGCAUGGCCUGGAAGAGCGAGAUCUGCUCCCCGGAGUAGGGGUCGGUGUAGCCGGUGACCGCGCGCUCAGCGGACAG